GAUGAAGAACGUAGCGAAAUGCGAUAAGUAAUGUGAAUUGCAGAAUUCAGUGAAUCAUCGAAUCUUUGAACGCACCUUGCACCCUUUGGUAUUCCGAAGGCUAUGCUCGUUUGAGUGUCAUUGUACUCUCACACUUCUAAUUCCUUUCGGGAUUGGGAGCGGUGGACUUGGGUGUUGCUGCUUUAGUUGUGGCUCACCUCAAAUAAGUUAGUGCAACUCUUGGUUGGACAUAGUACGGCGUGAUAAGUGUCUUCGCCGGCGCCUCUGUAAGGAGGGUGGCCGAUCGGGAGCUCUGUGCUUCAAACCGUCUUCGGACAAUCUUUGACAACUUGACCUCAAAUCGAGUAGGACUACCCGCUGAACUUAAGCAUAUCAAUAAGCGGAGGA
This 387-nucleotide unclassified non-coding RNA is filed under the name soil metagenome. RNAcentral's name for it is "partial contains 5.8S ribosomal RNA, internal transcribed spacer 2, and large subunit ribosomal RNA". The stretch from base 1 to 120 matches the Rfam family "5.8S ribosomal RNA", at positions 35 to 154 of the family's 154-position model. The record is from RNAcentral.